This 3347-nucleotide long non-coding RNA is filed under the name Equus caballus (horse). RNAcentral's name for it is "lncRNA (ENSECAG00000049317.1)". The record is from RNAcentral. Lineage: Eukaryota; Metazoa; Chordata; Mammalia; Perissodactyla; Equidae.
UUCUUAAGGUUGUCACUUGAAGGGAGGCCCAGGGCAGCUGGAGCUGCGGGGGUGAAGACAUCCUGGUCUGCAGCCAGCAGAGGACUCCUGCCUGUCGACCAGGCCGCCAGCACUGCUCGAGGCCGGAGUGCAGGACCCUGGAGCGGCCCCAUUACAAAAUGCCAGUCACUGGGAAGGAAGGAGCAGGUUAGCUCAUUUCAUCCUGCCGACAAGUGUGAUCAUCUCCACUUCUCAAAGCACGAAGAGGCUGCCUGACUUGCCCAAGCCUGCAGCUAGUGAAUGCAGGCGCCAGGGGCCCAACCCAGGCAGCCUGACUCCCAGCCCUCGCCCCCAACUGCUCAGCAUCUGCUCCUCCGAGAUGAAGUUCACCUCGUCUGUGGAUUCAAAUGAGGGGCCACAACACUACACUUAGUCCCUUAGUUUGCAUAUCUACCCUGGGACCAUAACCAUACACGGAAUUUCAUUGUAGCAGCUUCAGGAUUUGAGAAACAUCAGGAAGCCUUCAUAUCUGCUUGAAACUGUAUUCUCUCUAGGCCAGGCUUGUGGCUGGAAAGAGAAAGCAGCUUGCAGAGUCAGAGUGUCAGUUACAUUGUAUUGCAAUUCAAGUUCCAAUUACAAAACGUCCCCAACCCCACACUGGUGAUAGAAUUUUGUGGCAUUUCCUAAACAAGGGUACAAAGUUUCCCACAAAAAGUUUUCCGUGAACUUUACAGUUCCCAUGAAGCGAGGUCCUGGACCUCCUGCGUUGGAAUUCCCUGACUGAUCCUGUUUUUCAGUUGUUGGUGUGCAUCCUGACGGUGAGGAGAAGGCUGAGGAGAGCAGGAGUUCAGCACAGCCUGUCAGAGCCUGUUAGCAUAUUCCUGUGGCUACAAGAGAAACGCAGACUGGGCAGGUUUAUAACUGGCUGCGUGGGGCUCCUAUGGGGCUGAUGUCAACCUGAAGGCUGGCUUCUAGAUGGGGUUAGUGAGGACAUGCUGCUGAAAGCGCUCAGAUCGUCAGAGCUGGGCAGGACAGCUGCGCCCUUGAGUGGCUGACAGGAUUUGCACCAGACAGGCCAGGCAAGGUGCCAAGCUGAUAAACUGCCACCUUUUGAGGGGCUUCUGCCACACCCACAGCUGGUGUGGAAGGAUUUCUCAGGCCUUUACCACCUAACACAACUGGCUGGACCCAGGAUCGGUACCAAAGAUGCCACUGAGGUGGCCUGGCCCGAGAACUCUGCCCAGUAGGAGCAUGUCACAAAGAGCUGUGGGUGACUGGCCCACCAAGGUUGGAUUCAGGAUCUGGAAGCAGAAGCCGUGAGGCUGAAAAGCGAGGGAACAGACUCGGCGAGGCGGGGCAGCACGGUGUCCUUGGCUGGGUGCUGUGGGGGAAGUAGGUGUGGCUCCACAGAGGGGCCGCUGGGCACUGAGCUCCGGAUCCCGAGCUGUGGUGACGUUUCCUUCUCAGGAGGCUGUGACGUCCAGCUGCCCCGAUUCCUGCCUCCCUGCUCUCCUGGGGUCCCUCCAGGAAGCCCCCAUAGCUGAGGAACCCAUGCGAGUCUUAUGCUUUGCAAUCUAAGAGAGCCCAUCUUGACCAGUUGGAAUGAAGGCCCAAAUCUGACUCCCUGAAAAGAGAAAGAGAGUCCACAAACGGGAAAAGAGUGAUUCAAAUGGGUCACUGCAGUGUUUAUUGAGCCCCUGCUGUGCACCAGGCACUGGGUGUAGCAAGGCAAAAACUAAACAAAACAGAGCCUUAACCUCAAGGAACUUACCUUCUAAUGGGGGGGAGGAGGAAGGCAGACAGUAUUAAAAUAGAUGUGACUUUACACAUGGCCAGCGUCAGAGGGGACGUUUGAGCAGAGACCUGCUGAAAUGAGUCGCUGGGAAGAGCGUUCCAGAGGGAGGCUAGUAUGUCUGAGGAGUUGAGAGAGACCGGUGGGCCAGAGCUGGGGGCUGGGGGAGCGUGCAGGACCCGAUGCCGUGGCCGGGGGGGUCGGGAUGGUGAGGGCAAUGCAGAGGCCUGUGCACUUCACCCUGAGUGAGAGGAGGGCCUGGGGGUUCUCAGCAGAGGAAUGCGCGCUCUGCCUUCCGUUUUUGAAGGCUCACUCCGGCUGCUGUUGAAGCGAGACUGAAGAGCAUGUGUCAGUUAUCUGGUGCUCCCUGACAAGCCCUCCCCAAAACUUAGUGGGUUAAAACAGCAGCCAUCUUCUUUGCUCCUGAUCCUGUGCGUGGACUGGGGCUCAGCCACAGUUCCUCUGUUGGCCUCACUCGGAGUCCCUCGUGUGAAGCUUUCAGGCGGGAGCCUGGUGGAACCAGCACAUCCAGGAUGGCCUCUGCCUUGGUUUUGUGGGACUGCCAUAACAAAUUACCACAAAUCCGGGGGCUGAAAACAACAGAAACUUAUUCCCUCUCAGUUCUGGAGGCCGAAAGUCUGAAAUCCAGGCGUUGGCAGAGCUGCUUCCUUCUGGAGGCUCCGAGGGAAACUGCGGUCCUUGCCUCUCUCCGGCUUUGGGGGUGGCCACCAAUCCUUGGUGUGCCUUGCCUGACACCUGCGUCACUCCUAUCUGACUCAGUGGUCACAUGUGUUCUCCCUGUGUGUCUCUGUGUCUCUGUGUCCACAUUUCUCAUUUUUUAUGAGUGACAGUCACACUGGAUUUAAGGUCCACCCUAAUCCAGUGUGACCUCCUCUUACUUUGAUUACAUGUGCAAAGACCCUAUGUCCAAAUAAGGUCACAAUCACAGGUUCUGAGUGGACAUGAAGUUUUAGGGGACACUAUUCAACACAGGACAGCCUCUCAUUUUGCAGGAUAUCUCCCACAGCCUCUCAUCGUUCAGUAGGCUAGCCCCGGAGUUGACAAACUAUGGCCCACGGGCCAAAUCUGUUUCUGUAAAUAAAGGUGUAUUGGAACACAGCCACACCCCUUUAUUUACAUAUUGUCUGUGGCUGCUUUCAAGCUGCAAUGACAAAGUUGAGUAGUUCCAACAGGGAUUGUAAGGCCCACAGAGCCUAACCUACCCUUUAUAGAGAAAGUUUGCCCACCCCUCGUCUGUCCUGGCUUCUCACACAGCAGCCAUAGCCCAAGAAGCUGCCACCCAGGAGGACAAGGAGACCCGGUGUGCAAGAGCUGGUGGCAAAGCCUCUUGCUGAUGUGCCAUUGGCCAAAGCAGGUCACAUGGUCAAACCCAGAGUCUGUGGAAGGGGUGCCCACUGCGGGGUACCAGGAGGUGGGCUCACUGGGGCUACCAAAGAAAGGGUCUACUCGAGGGGCACAGCUGAACACAGGAGCCCAGUGAAGAGACCGCCGUAGGGCCCUAGGGUGGUAACACUGGAUGCGUGAGAAGUGAUUGGAGUCCAGAUAUAUUUCCAAG